GCCUGGUAGUGGGGGACAACGUUUCGAAAGGAACGCUAAUACCGCAUACGUCCUACGGGAGAAAGCAGGGGACCUUCGGGCCUUGCGCUAUCAGAUGAGCCUAGGUCGGAUUAGCUAGUAGGUGAGGUAAUGGCUCACCUAGGCGACGAUCCGUAACUGGUCUGAGAGGAUGAUCAGUCACACUGGAACUGAGACACGGUCCAGACUCCUACGGGAGGCAGCAGUGGGGAAUAUUGGACAAUGGGCGAAAGCCUGAUCCAGCCAUGCCGCGUGUGUGAAGAAGGUCUUCGGAUUGUAAAGCACUUUAAGUUGGGAGGAAGGGUUGUACGCUAAUACCGUGCAAUUUUGACGUUUUUUUUCUUAAUAAGCACCGGCUAACUCUGUGCCAGCAGCCGCGGUAAUACAGAGGGUGCAAGCGUUAAUCGGAAUUACUGGGCGUAAAGCGCGCGUAGGUGGUUCGUUAAGUUGGAUGUGAAAGCCCCGGGCUCAACCUGGGAACUGCAU
This 504-nucleotide ribosomal RNA is filed under the name Pseudomonas sp. RNAcentral's name for it is "bacterial SSU rRNA". It matches the Rfam family "Bacterial small subunit ribosomal RNA", at positions 128 to 626 of the family's 1533-position model. The record is from RNAcentral. Lineage: Bacteria; Pseudomonadati; Pseudomonadota; Gammaproteobacteria; Pseudomonadales; Pseudomonadaceae.